Molecule: long non-coding RNA, 860 nt
Filed under: Zostera marina
Lineage: Eukaryota; Viridiplantae; Streptophyta; Magnoliopsida; Alismatales; Zosteraceae
Description: long non-coding RNA (ZMAR_LNC001105)
Source: RNAcentral
AAAAAGCGGCCGUAUUGUCGGAGGACUCCUCCGCCACUUUUCUUUAUUUCCUUCAUACUUUGUCCCCCUGCUCAAACUCCGGUAGUACCCAGAAAACUGCAGCUUGAGCAUUUUUUCUCUCUUUCAAUUUUUACCCGUUGAAGUAAUUUUCUAGUUUUUUUUAGAGAUCAUGUUUUUUUUUGUGUGAUGUUGCUUCACGCAAUUUCUUGACCACUCUUAAUUCUCUAGUCUACACUAGAUUUCAUAUCAUGAAAAUUUUAUAAAAAUACCCCUAUCUUUAUUUUUUUUUAUAGAUUAAGAAUGUGUGGAGCACUGGAGAGCGAGGAUAGGUAAAAGUUUUCUUUGGUGAAGCACUGGUGAGUGGUGAAUCUCCUUCUAUUUUUAUUUAAGGUGAGCUUCAGAUGAAAUAUCAAAAAUAAGAUAUCUUGUGAGAUAUUAAUUUAAGUCAUUCAUUUGGAAUAAAUUGAGAUAUCUCAGUCUAUCUUAUUUAAAAUAAAUAAACGUUCUAAAUUAAUAUCUUACAAGAUAUCUCACUUGAAAUAGAUUAUUAAAUAUGAGAUAAUUAAAUCUCAUUCAUCCAAUAAAAGACCUCAAGAUCAGUAUCAUAAAUCAAUUAAAAAACAAACACAACUGAUGGAUUCUUAACCAAUGGUUAGAUUAUAAAUAUCUCAAAAGAAUCGUUUUCAUUAAAAAUAAUAUAAGGUUAUAUAUGUAUGAUUCUAAAAAUCUACUAUAAAUUUUGUUUGGCUAUGCAUAUGGGGAAGAGAUUGUAGGUGGGCGCAAGCAAGUGAUUGGUGGAACAAUGGUGCCCCUUUGCUUUAUAUGAGCAUGCCCACAGACGGAAUGUUGUGUUUUAAUGC